UCUCUCUCUCUCUUUCUCUCCCCCCUCUCCCUGUGUCUUGUCAGCCUUUAAGAUCGACAUUUUGUAACUAAGAUGCAAACUUGAUGGUGACCAGGAGGAAAAAGGGAAAGCCGUGGGUCACUAUCACAUGACAAAGGCUUCGAGACAGCUUCAUCUUCCUCUGUCUGUAAUUUCCAUUUGCCUUCCUGGGUGAUCUGCUGGAGAGGGGGCCUAAAUACUAACAACAGCACUGAAACAUCACCAACACUGGAGUGGAAAGUGACUGUCAUCUUGCAUACAACACACAAUGUAACAAUGUGAGGAUAGGAAAUUUCGGCCAACAGAAUUGAGGUAAAUCUUUCUUUUACAUAAUGUGC
Trachemys scripta elegans is the source of this 356-nucleotide long non-coding RNA. RefSeq lists it as uncharacterized. The record is from RefSeq and is a predicted model, not a curated record. The transcript has 3 exons. Lineage: Eukaryota; Metazoa; Chordata; Testudines; Emydidae.